Molecule: small nucleolar RNA, 156 nt
Filed under: Sorex araneus (European shrew)
Lineage: Eukaryota; Metazoa; Chordata; Mammalia; Eulipotyphla; Soricidae
Description: Small nucleolar RNA SNORA53 (ENSSARG00000019836.1)
Rfam family: Small nucleolar RNA SNORA53
About the family: The snoRNA ACA53 belongs to the H/ACA family of pseudouridylation guide snoRNAs.
Source: RNAcentral
AUUCAGACCCAGUUGAAAGAGACGUCCUGCAGUUUUUCUGGUUGUAGAGUCAAAAGUGCUUGAGUCAUUAUGCAUGUUAGUUUUAGGUUCUAAAGAAAUGAUAUGCAAUUAUGCUGUCAUUCUAGACUAUCAGAACUUAGCUGGUGUGCAGACACN